AGGUUUACAGUGUUGUAGAGUCUGAUAGAGAGGUUUACAGUGUUGUAGAGUCUGAUAGAGAGGUUUACAGUG
This is a non-coding RNA of Pangasianodon gigas (Mekong giant catfish), 72 nucleotides long. The record is from the annotation of a GenBank genome assembly. NCBI's taxonomy places the organism in Eukaryota, Metazoa, Chordata, Actinopteri, Siluriformes, Pangasiidae.